Molecule: ribosomal RNA, 446 nt
Filed under: uncultured bacterium
Lineage: Bacteria
Description: partial 16S ribosomal RNA
Rfam family: Bacterial small subunit ribosomal RNA
Source: RNAcentral
UCCAGACUCCUACGGGAGGCAGCAGUGGGGAAUAUUGCACAAUGGGGGAAACCCUGAUGCAGCGACGCCGCGUGAGCGAAGAAGUAUUUCGGUAUGUAAAGCUCUAUCAGCAGGGAAGAAAUUGACGGUACCUGAGUAAGAAGCUCCGGCUAAAUACGUGCCAGCAGCCGCGGUAAUACGUAUGGAGCAAGCGUUAUCCGGAUUUACUGGGUGUAAAGGGAGCGUAGGCGGCCUGCCAAGUCUGAUGUGAAAUACCGGGGCUCAACCCCGGGGCUGCAUUUGGAACUGUGCUGCUAGAGUGUCGGAGAGGCAGGCGGAAUUCCUAGUGUAGCGGUGAAAUGCGUAGAUAUUAGGAAGAACACCAGUGGCGAAGGCGGCUUUCUGGACUGAAACUGACGCUGAGGCACGAAAGCGUGGGGAGCGAACAGGAUUAGAUACCCUCGUAC